GUGCUUAAAGAAUGGUUGUCCGUAGUAUGGUCUCUAUUUAUGAUGAUUAAUAUCGGACAACCAUUGUUUUAGUAUCC
This 77-nucleotide microRNA precursor is filed under the name Carlito syrichta (Philippine tarsier). The record is from RNAcentral. Lineage: Eukaryota; Metazoa; Chordata; Mammalia; Primates; Tarsiidae.